GUCCUAUUACCCCAAUCGGCAGAGGGAACGGACUUAAAAUCCGUAUAGUCUCAGUUCGAAUCUGAGAUAGGACACCA
RNAcentral lists this transfer RNA (77 nucleotides) under Caudoviricetes sp. RNAcentral describes it as "tRNA-Leu". It matches the Rfam family "tRNA". Rfam says of the family: Transfer RNA (tRNA) molecules are approximately 80 nucleotides in length. Their secondary structure includes four short double-helical elements and three loops (D, anti-codon, and T loops). Lineage: Duplodnaviria; Heunggongvirae; Uroviricota; Caudoviricetes. The record is from RNAcentral.